This is a non-coding RNA of Delphinapterus leucas (beluga whale), 8615 nucleotides long. NCBI's taxonomy places the organism in Eukaryota, Metazoa, Chordata, Mammalia, Artiodactyla, Monodontidae. The record is from RefSeq and is a predicted model, not a curated record.
CAUGUGAGAUCUCCCCGGGCCAGGGCUCAAACCCGUGUCCCCUGCAUUGGCAGGCGGAUUCUUAACCACUGUGCCACCAGGGAAGCCCUAGAGUGCAGCUUUAAGGCUGUUUUCAUAACCCUUGAAUCAAGUUGUAAUAUCGGGGUUGGUUUUAAUAAAAAUUAUAUUGAUUUUGUUUUAAAAUUACAUUUCAGGCUUCUAUAUAAGAAGUGAAAUAUUUACCAAUACAUGAUAAGUUCAUAGCAUUGGCACUAUAACAGAGAUGUUGUAGCUUAUGGCCUAAAUUUACCUGACGUUUAAUGAAUCCAAUUUAUCAAGAUCCUAUGGAUUUGUAGCCAAAUCCAUACUUUAAAACAAUCUUUAAAGAGCUAAACUUAGAUUCACCCUUAUUUAGAGUAACUUGUAAGAAAAUGAUUAAGUUCUAAGUUCAGUACUUCUUCACUUUCCUUAACUUUUCCUUUAUUAGGCCACGUUUAACCACCUGUAAGGGCAGAAUGCUUUCCUCCACUGCUCAGGGCAAAGUACUCUGCAGUGCCUUACCUCCACAAUGCUAUUGAUAUGGUGGUUAAAGGCCCGAGUUCUGGAGCCAGAAUGCCCAGGUUCACAUCCUGUCAUUUCUGCUUGUUGUGUGACCCUGGGCAAGUUAACUACUCGGUGCCUCAGUUUCUUCACCUAUAAAAUGGGAAUAAUUACCACAACCUAACUCAUAAGGCUGUUACGAGGAUUAAAUGAGAUAAAGUAUCUAAAAAAGCCCUUAGUUCAGAGCCUAACCCAGGUUAUAAGAGGUCAUACUGAUUUUCUUUUUAAAUUUCAGCUUUCUUGAGGUAUAAUUGACAAUUUUAUUUUUAACUACUCUUCAGACCUAUAUAUGAGAAUGAAAUAUUUACAAAUACAUUAUAAACUUAGGUUUGUAGGAGAUUGCCUAUUUUCUUAGGAGAUGCAUGCUAAAAUAUUGAGAUAAAGUCUCAUUUGAAAGUUGUAUAGCAACUUUCAAAUGCUAUACAAAAAGAAAAAAUAUGUGGAAAAUAUAGAACGUUAAAUAUGGUGCCAUGUUAAUACUUAAUAUAUGUAGGAUAUGAAUGUUCAUUGUAUUAUGUCAAGUUUUCUGUAGGUUUGAAAUCUUUCAUAAUAAAACUUGGAGGGAGGAUGGAAAUACUUUCCCCAGUUCUCUCAGUGUCUCAUUUUUCUUUUCAUUUCUUCUUCUUCCCUCUAUGUUAUCUCCCCCAAAUUGUCUCUCAUAUCUCUCCCACGCAGGGCCCCUUGUCUCUCCUCAUCUACAGGUUAUCUCUUUAUUAUGUACUUGUUAAUAGCCGCAGCUUAGUGUAAGUGGUUAAACAUACACACUCUGGAGCCGGACUGUCUGUUGGAGUAUCUGCCAUCUCACUUAUUGUGCGACCUUGGGCAAGUUACUUUAAACUCUCUGUAGCUCAGUUUCCUCCUAUGGUUAUCGUAAGGAGUAAAGAAACAAUGAGUAUCUAUAAACGAUUAGAAGAGGGUCUGGUAUAUUGUCAGUCUCUGUAGGAAUUUGCCAUAAUGAUAAUAAUAAUCUCUUGGUGUCCCUCACGUCUUUCCUUCUGUUCAGUGGUGAUAGGCCCUGGAGCCUUCCUCCUGAGGAGAGGGAGUUGGGAGAAAACUGCAAAUGCUUCUUACUUAAUACCUUUUUUUUUUUUCCCCUGAACACAAAAGGAAUUAAAGUGGGCAAAAAUCCUCCUGAAAAAUGUUUCCACGUUUAGAAUAAAUAUGUUCUACUCUGUUUUUGCUUUCUGGUUUCCCCCUGAAAAGAUAAUUAUUUAACAGUAAAAUCUUGCAUUAACCCUGGAUGUUGGUAGUGGCAUCAACACCUUACCCCUAACCUCACAGGCCCAUCUAGUCUGCACUGUCUUCUCCUUUCUCACUCCUGAAAUGGCACAGCGCUUCUUCCUGUACGAAGGUCAGCUUCUCACCUGUGCUGGAGAUCCCAGCCUCCUCACCUUCUGAGGAACCUUGCAUUCUCAAUUACUCCUUCUCUCUUCUGUACUCACCUCUCCCUCCCAAUUACGUCUUUUCCAUGAACAUUUAACUCCUCAUCUUAAGUUGGACGAGGGAACCCUCCCUAGAUUCCAUCUCCCCUUUGAGCUACUGUCUUAUCUUUCCUGCUUCACAUGAUAUUUCUUGAAAGAGAUUCUCAUUUUCCAGUUACUUCUCAGCCCACUCCAGUGGCUUCCCUGCUGUCAGUUUAACAAAACAGCUGUUACUAAGGUGACCCAUAAACUGUAUGUCACUAAAUCCUCGGGCAUUUUUUAGGACUAACGUUAUUACUUUGACUUACAAAAACAUUCAGCAGUUCGACUGUAAUCUCCUUAUUGAAACCUCUUUAUUCACCAUUGGCUGUUUGUUGUUCUGUGAAUAAUAAAGUACUGUGUCUCUGACCCAGGAGUCUCAGGUCUCAUGCUAGCAUCCAUGAAACAGUGUCUGACUUAUUAAAUAACUUGUGAUUGGACUAAAAUACAGUCCCAGACUUGACACUAACCAUCGUAUUCCUAGCAGCCCCACAGUGCCUGGCAUGAAGUAGGUGUUCAGUAUUUAUUUGUGAGAUGGCUGGAUGGAUGGAUGGACUUUUUCAGCUCGCCAAGACAUUGCAGGGAUAAGACCUUUCAGAAGAGCCAACCAGGUUCUGGGAUUGUGAGGGAGACAGCUGAGAGAACGCGAACAUUAAUUUGAUCUGAGGUUUCUCUGGGUUUAUGUGUCUAAUUGGAGAGUAUUUUGAUCAGCCAGCUUCUCUUCUGAAAUGUAAACCAUCUGACAGAGGUAAUCCUAUUAAUUCCAUUUUAUUCUGAAUUAGUUGAGUUGGCGUAACGUUCUAAUAUUUAGCUGAGUGUAGCGGUGGUGCGUGGGGAGGGCUGAUGUGGGAGGCCGGUAGCCUGUGGUGGGCAGAGGCCUGGGUUCUCUUUCGAAGGGGGAAUUCUGUGUAUUCCUGGGUUUCUUAGAGAGGGUGUGCGGGUGGGGGAACCAGAAAGUGAGAGAGAGAAGUGGGAUAACAGCAGAGGCACGCUUGGUCAGCCUCAAGAUCUGCCCGAAGCCUGCUGGCGGUCGCUGUGGACACACCAUAGAAAUUCAUCUCUGAAGCUGCUGGUGCCAGAGUGCUUCAGACUUUAACUGUCCCUGUAAGGAUGGACUGUUCCCCUUUUACAAACAGCAUUUUUUAAAGUAACCUAAGCAAAGUUUUACAUAGGAUAAAAUUGUUUUCAGGACAGAUAAAAAGAGUGAAAAGAAUGCAUGAGAAUAUUAAAUGUACAACUAUUAAGAUUUCUAGAAUUAGAAACUGAAUAAUUGUGUAGAAAGGCAAACAGCCUUUAGGGUGACAGAGGGCAUUCUUGGAGUUGACAAGAGUGACAAGAAUUAUCUAGGGUUUGACUCUCAACAGGAGGGAUAUCACCCCAAGGGGGUAAAAAUUGGUUCUUGUGGGACAAAAAACGGCCUGCAUGGCCAGGGUACCUAAACAGAAAUACAGUAUAUUUGUGGUAUUAGAAUUUCAUGGUGGCAAAGGGCUUUAGGUAAAUAUGUCUUAAAAGUCUCCUUACAGGGCGGUAACAAAAAAAAAAGUUGAGAAACAACUGGACCUGUUGAUUCAAAUGGAAGGAUUUUGUUGAUCACCAGUGGGUCCCCCUGGGAAGACGAACUGGAAAUGUGUGUUGACUCAGCAGAAGGAAAAAGAUCUCACAUGUUGUCUAAUCAUCGGGGGCCUGUAAUCUUUUCAGUACUUAGUGCUUCUAAAAGUUUUAAGCUGGUCUUGGGUGCAGUUAAUUCAGUUUUAAGUGAGAAUCACGCUGGGAUGGCCCCUGGGCCCUGCAGCUCUGCUGCCAGCCCAUCUGUGUGGUAACAUGAGCUUUGUCCUCCUUACCAGCUAAUUCCACUUUCAUUAAAAUUCCUCUCUACGGACCUGGGAUAAUGGUCAUGGUUCUGCCUUUCAGCUCCAGAGCAAGGAUUUUUUUUUUUUUUCCUGUAAGUGAGCAAUUAGUUACUGGAAAUAGAUGUGUGUAACACCUGGAAGUGGAUGAAAACACCAGUGAGCCAAAUGCUCCUUCCCAGUUGGGCAGCUGAAAGGGACGCCUGGCUUUGUGCAGUGGUGCCGGCUCCUGCUCUGCUCUUACUGUGCAGUGAAGACCUGGAUGUGCCUCCCUCUGUUCACAUCCACCAGGUGCCCGCCACGGUGGCAGGGGUCUGACGUGCUUGCUGGGUUCUCAGCGGCUUGCGUUGCCUCCAACUCAGUCACUCGCACAACUGCUCGAGGGCAGGAAGAGACUUCCCUUCCUCAAAAGGGCAGGAGAGAGAGAGAGAGAAGCUCCUGUUUGGAUGCCGGAGCCACAUGGGCAAGCCAGGCCUUAUUCCUUUUGAAGGACGGCGCUGAUUCUUCUUCCUGGGACAGAGAACCUCUGCCCACAGCAUCAGUCUUCCGAAGGUCAGCCCCGACCCACGAAAGCCCUGAGUGGAGCCUCAGCAUUACGAAGGCAUCGUCCUGUCCCUCAGACUGGCUAAGAGGAGGGCAUCCUGCGAUCUUUGUCAGCAGACGGUGAGACUCCAGGACUAAGACGUAAGCCCAUGGCGGGUCCUUCCUUUGGCACCAAGUCCCUACAGAACCUUGGAUGAGUCAGAUCCCCACACUGUACCCCCCCCCAGUAUCCACAGUUCUGAAGUGGGAAUAAUAUCAACACAUGGGGAAGUACUGAGGAGGAAGAGAACAUUGCAGGUAAAACACUUUUGUUCGUUGAGCACCUUUUCCCCAAGAAACAUGGCACCAACUUUGCACCAUGUCCCCAGCUCUUCAUUGAAUGCGGCAGUGACCGACUCACUCUCCCUGGUCUUUGGGCAGGCGUUUCUAUGAGCUCAAAGUCUCAUUCCUCUAAUUUCAGAUUAAAAUAAUCAUGGAUUAACAUCUCUUCAGAGUAUGUUUACAGUCACUAAAACAGCUCAUACUUUUCCUGCAGAAUUGUAACAGCUACUCAGGGACUCUGCCAAUCAGAGUGCCCGCACAGAGCUCGUUUUGCACCACGAAGGCAGGAAUCCUGGAAGCUCCACCUCGGCAGACGCUGGAUGUUUCAGACAUCCAAGACAGGCAACUGCACAGAGUCACCCCCACGGCCAAGACCCACCCACAGGAAAACAUCCCCUCAGAAACAGACAAUCCGCUUCUCGUCUUCAAAGACUUUGGCCUCCUCUGGCUUUAUCAAGUUUCCAUUUAAGCUGUUGGAGAAAAAGAACACAAGGGUGCCCAAUCAAAAAUGUUUGGAGACUACCAGUCUGAACAACAAAUUCUAAGGAACACAUCUGGGGAACAGGCAGUCUGAUGUCUCCUUCCAGAUGGCUGGAGAAAGGCAAGGCAGUUUUUAAAGUUAAGUAUUUUUUAAAGAGCUGGCCCUUCUCUUCUUUGGGGGAAACAAAGGCUUCCAAGAUGGUACCAUGUCCUCUCCAACAUCUGAGAGGGAGGGAGGAAGAACAGUUCUGCUGCUACUCAUGGGUCCCAGUGGAAAAGUAUCAAUAAUGGGGCUUCUAAGAGUAUACCCCAUUAUGUUGGGUGGCAUUGAUUCUAAUGAAACAAAGAUUUCAGAUAUAGCUGGGAAGCCUGGGCAAUUCCCAAAUUGCUCCCCUGGGAAGCCAUGCGUCUAACCCACCCAGGAAAGAGCAGCACAAGUCAGUGAUACGCCUGUGCUUCAUCACAGGUUCAUUCCUCACCCCCCAGCUAUUUGUAGCAUAAGGCUACUACUGAACUUGACCUUUAGAAAUUCUGGGCACUGAUCCAAGAAGGUAGCUGUGUACCAGGAAGAUAAUGACCUAUAUUACUGUGACUAAUGAGAUUAUAGAAAUUAAGCCCGUCCCUUAAGGAGGCAGUAUAGCAUUGUGGUUAAAAGCUCUCCUCAUAUACAUACACCCACUCCCCACUUCUCAGCUGCAGAUCCUUGAAGAAAUAAACUUAAGCUUUCUAUUCCUCAGCUGCCUGAUCUAUAAAAUGGGAGUAACUAUAAGAGAACCCCGCUACCCUGGGUGUGUGAGAUUUCAAUAGGAGGAUGUGUAUGAAGUAGGAGGAUGUGUAUGAAGUAGUUCUCAUCAUUUCUACCAUGGCGCCCAGGGGAAGGGAGCUCUUGUCACCAUUCCUGCCCAAGCACACAGGACUCGGUGGCUGUGCUGCAGCCAGGACCCAGUGAUCCCCAGCACAUCUCUCAAAGACUGGGGCCCCUGGGCCAAGUGGCAGAGGUGAGACCUUCUGCAACUAAACAGCUGGCAAGACUCCACCUGGACGUGGUUCCUGCCUGGGCUGAUUUGAAGCAGGAAGCGUAAGUGCCAGCCUCACCAGCAGCCACUCAGCCUUUGCCGCUCCAGAGCCCAGGACGAGGCCAAUCACCAGACUGCUCAAGGGGAGGCCAGACAGGAAACGGAACAUGGCAAGACCUGGUCACACGGGCUGAGGACGCCUGGCGAGCUCUGCUUCGGAGGCUGACACCUUACAGGCGCCUGUCGGUGAGGCCUGGAGAAGUUUCCUCUGUUCUUGUAUGGAAGGAACUCUGCUACUGCCCCCACCGUAUUUAACCCUUUGUCAGUGACAGGAAGGACACGGGCAACCAGGAGACCCCCAAGUCUCAGAGAUUUGGCCAGAGGCCUAAAGGAGGGCCAGGGAGGACCAAGUCUGUUUACAGAGGUGAAGGAUCCCCUCUUGUCCCAGCACCAUCCUGAGAAAUGAGGAGGGGGCAGGAAUCUGCGGCCCAGUGUCUUUCAGUUUUGUCUUGACUGAAGAAUUCCUCCCCAACCCCCAAGGGGCACAGGAAGACUACAGAGGGGCUGGCAAUGUCUAGUCUUGAUCUGACUGGUGUGUGCACAUGUCACAUCACAGAGCUGAAAACUUAAGCAUAAUAUACUUAACUGUAUGCCUCUUCUAUGUCGAUAAAAACAUUUUUAAAAAGAAAAAGAAACGCCACACACACAAAUACCUUCCCUGUUAGGAAUGCCAGCCACCCUCCUUCCCCUGGCUCCUCCUCUGGUAAAACAAGAGGAACACGGAGUGACCAGGUUGGCCCUGAAGACGGCAGUUCUCAGAAGGCAGCAGUUACCUCAAGUUAGUCAAGCUCGGGUGGUUCCUCAGAGCCUCUGCGAAGGCCCUUGCUCCUUCGUCACCGAUUUGAUUGCCCCACAUCCUGAGGGCAGAGGGAAGACAGUGAAAGUUACCUCAUGCUCAUCCCUUAUUUUCUGCUCGUGGCCAUGGUGUGUAUACUCAACACACAGAUGUUUCUGCUCCAUCCCUGGAGCUGUGGCCUGGAGAUGAACCCCUCCACCAGCCCCUUAGUGAGCUGCUCGGGAGGAAAAAAAGCAGUAGAAGGCUUAUGAACAGAAAUCAAAUCAGACAGCUGCACAAUUAGGAACCAAGUCUCACCCCUGAGCUUUUGGAGAGCUGUCAGUCAGAGCCUAAGCUCACAGCUAUCCCUGAAAUGUCACCUGCAGGAUAUACAGGUUGGUGGCAGCUUGAAAGGAAGGCCUGUGGCGGUGCCAGACCCAAUAUCCAUUUGACCCUGUGCAGGGGUGCCGGACAUUCUUGAAGACAUAGUCGGUCUUGCAUGAAGCAAAGAUCAGAAAGCACACUGAGAAAACUUAUCGGCAAUUUCCCUGCUAUGUAAAGAGGAGGUGACCAAACCAUGUUGUUCAGAUUGUUGCAGUUUGGGUGGGGAGGUGCCAUGACAAGCCGUAUUCUCUCCCCCACAGUAGAAAGCCUUAGAGGAUCUGGCUAAAUCGAGGGUCUGCAUGGUAAGACGUUGGGCUCCCAUCCUGGCCCUGCCCCCCACCACCUGGGCGUGCUUGGGUAAUGCGUAGUCUCUGAGGCCUUAGUCUCGUCUGUAAAGCAGGUAUAAGAAGAGCAUUUCCUCCCAGAGUUGUUGUGAGGAUUCAGUGAGUUAAUAUAUGCAAAGCACUCCAAACAGUGCUGAGCCUAUAAUAAGAGUCAGCUAUUCCUAAAAGGCUGAGGGUCACUGUCUACAGAAAGCAAGUCUGCCAGGCUCACCACAGAACUGGGGCUGCCUCAGCUACGUGCUCUCACCAGGCAAGCGGCCUGCUGACGUCCCUGCCGGUACAGCUUCUAAAACCCCAGAAUGAGAGUUUUCAGCAUUUUGCGUAAAAAGUGUGUGUACUAGAUAAAACUGCAUGCUAUCAAACUUUGAAUAAAGUGGAAAACUACUCAUGACAUGAGAUUAAGUGAAAAAAGGUAGAAUAAAAUUCUGUACAGAUAGUUUGACCUCUACCAUAUUAAAAAAAAUAGUAUAGAGAGAACAUAAACUGCAUGAGAGAGAGCAAGAAAGCUUACCUGACCUCAAGUGUUGACAAUAAUUAUUUCUGAGAUGAUCUCCAUUAUACUGUUCAUAUUUUCCAUAGUUUACAAAUAAAAUUAUCUAUGUCUCUUCUAGAGUCAGAGAAAAAAUCAUAACUCUAUGAAAAGCUGUAGUCUCCUGAACCAAAACCAUAAUGAAAUAUCACCUCACACCCGUAUGGAUGGUUACUAUCAAAACACCAGAAAAUAACAAGUUGUUGGUAAGGAUGUGGAGAAAUUGGAACCCCUGUGCACUGUUAGUAGGAAUGUAAAAUGGUAUAGCUGCUGCAGA